CCUACGGGUGGCAGCAGUGGGGAAUAUUGGACAAUGGGGGAAACCCUGAUCCAGCGACGCCGCGUGAGUGAAGAAGUAUUUCGGUACGUAAAGCUCUAGCAGCAGGAAAGAAAAUGACGGUACCUGACUAAGAAGCCCCGGCGAACUACGGGCCAGCAGCCGCGGGAAGACGUAGGGGGCAAGCGUUAUCCGGAUUUACUGGGUGUAAAGGGAGCGGAGACGGCAGCGCAAGUCUGGAGGGAAAUGCCGGGGCCCAACCCCGGAACUGCGCUGGAAACUGGGAAGCUGGAGUGCAGUAGAGGUACGCGGAAUUCCUGUUGUAGCGGUGACAUGCGUAGAUAUCAGGAGGAACCCCGGCGGCGAAGGCGGCUUACUGGACUGUCACUGACGUUGAGGCUCGAAGGCGUGGGGAGCAAACAGGAUUAGAUACCCCAGUAGUC
Molecule: ribosomal RNA, 440 nt
Filed under: uncultured bacterium
Lineage: Bacteria
Description: partial 16S ribosomal RNA
Rfam family: Bacterial small subunit ribosomal RNA
Source: RNAcentral